UCCUCUCAUCUCCUGUGGGCAGCCCCUCCCAGCAGCCAGGGCUUCCUGGGGGUGAUGCAGCCAGGCCCCUGUGGGUGGCACGGAGGGGCCUAGUGUUGCCCUCCCCAGCAGCUGGCAGGGGCCUACUUGCUCACUAGAGAGGUGGAUUCUCACCUGUCACCUGACUCGAGCCCCCUGCUUCCUGGCCUAAGUGAGGGCUCCAGGUUUCAGACACUGGCAGCCAAUGAAGACUGCUCACUGGGUGGUGCAGGCCUGGCACCAGGAGGCUUGCACCCGCCUUUCCUUCCUGACGUCCUCUGUCCUUGGGGCUGGCCCACAGCAGUGCCUGCCGUGCCUCUGGUGCAUCUCUAGCCAAUUUCCAUAUCAUGGGGAAAAUUUGUGUCUAUUUCCAGUCAUAGGCAUAGAUGCCCCAGGGUGAAGGGCCCUUUGUGGUGGAAAGGGGUCCCUGGAAACAACUCUGGUACAGAACCUGCCCUGCAGGCCAUAGGGGGUGUGGUGCCUGGAGCUGAGGGGCAUCCGAACGCGUUGUGGGUGGUUGUGAGGAGGCCUGUCUGCAUCUCCUUCUGGCCCCACUGGGGGCCGGGGCACCCAGAAAGGAGCUUCCCCUGCCUGCCUGAUUCUGUCCCCCCCGAGGCUUCAUUUCAAACACUGCAGCACCUCUGAGCAAGGCGGGCCGUGUGUAAAACCUUGCUUCCCCAGCCAGCACUCCAGGGCCCUGAGGUGGUCGUGUCCCUGCCCUCAAUUCUUGAAGCACCAGCUCCCUGCCCCACCCUCCAGUGCCUGGGGCAGCCAGGGGGCUUCUGCUCUCAUCUCUGACCAGCAGAAUCUACCCAGUGACCAGUGGUGGCCCCUCAGCCGACCCUCCCAGCAGCUCAGCCUGUGGCUCUUGAGGCCGUGGUUCCCACGUGGACUGGGAGGCAGUCUCAUAGCCACCCAGAGUGCUGUUCAGCUGCCCCUCCCUGCCACCAGCAGGGGCCCAGGCUGCCAUCACUGGAGGCUGCAGGGACCAAGAGGCCAUCACCGUGUCUAUAGAGAGCAGACAGGAGCAGAACAGCGCCGGGGGCUCCUGAGCCUCUGCGUGUGCCCUCCCAGCCCACACCGGUGCUCUCGGCCACUGAGCACCCAGACUCAGGCUUGGGUUCCCCAGACUGACUGGAAGGCAGCUCCCGCGUACCAGGAUAACCCCCGCAAACCACAUAGCAGACCCCGCCAUCCUCGCAGAGGGGAAAAGGCUGCAGCAAGGCUUUGCCUCUGCAGACCCCAUCUUAGUGGCACAGUGCUUGGGCCUGUGUUCCCCGGGUGGUGGAGCCCUGUACUGGUCUGUGGCCCUGGGGGCCCCACUCUGCUGUCUGCCCCAGCCCAUGCCGUCUGCUGGGCAAGGCAGGCUUCCCCGUGCCCUGCCUCCCUCUGUCAGGGAACCUGGGACCCCUCUCCCCACUGCCUGCAUAGAGGACCCUGACCCUGGGCCAGCAGUGUGGCCCCAGGUCCAUGUUGGGCACUAGGGCAGGUUCCGUGCCAGAGUCAGGGGCCACACGAAGGCCUGGUGCCGGUGAGGGAGGUGUGCGCUAGAGGGGAAAGGGGCCCCCGCCCACCUGUCCACCGUGUGGGCCAUGCUGUGUCCUUAUGUCAUUGUAAUAUAAAUACAGAUUUUUAUAUCUCACCCUGCUGGCUCCGGCUCUUUCUGUGAUUGUCACUGUCACCAUGCUUUGCGCCCUGCCCUCGGCCUCCAAGCAGAGAGCCUGGCCCAGGGGCACCACACUGUGUGGCCUUUGGGCUGUGGCCCUCGUUGCCCUACCACAGCCUCUUUUCUGGGAGGCCUGACGGAGCACGUCGCCCCCUGCUGCCAACCACACCGGGCCCACCAUCACAGCUGCCUCCCUGGAUGCUUUGGCACCUGGAGCUGGGUGAAGGCGGGUUUGAGGCGG
This is a long non-coding RNA of Piliocolobus tephrosceles (Ugandan red Colobus), 1925 nucleotides long. Lineage: Eukaryota; Metazoa; Chordata; Mammalia; Primates; Cercopithecidae. The record is from Ensembl.